UUCCAGUGCAAUAUAUGUAUAUUGCACUCAGUUUGAGUGCAAUAUAUCUAUAUUGCACUUGAA
RNAcentral lists this microRNA precursor (63 nucleotides) under Paramuricea clavata. Lineage: Eukaryota; Metazoa; Cnidaria; Anthozoa; Malacalcyonacea; Plexauridae. The record is from RNAcentral.